UACGAAGGGGGCUAGCGUUGCUCGGAAUUACUGGGCGUAAAGGGCGCGUAGGCGGAUAGUUUAGUCAGAGGUAAAAGCCCAGGGCUCAACCUUGGAACUGCCUUUGAUACUGGCUAUCUUGAGUACGGAGAGGUGUGUGGAACUCCGAGUGUAGAGGUGAAAUUCGUAGAUAUUCGGAAGAACACCAGUGGCGAAGGCGACACACUGGCCCGUUACUGACGCUGAGGCGCGAAAGCGUGGGAGCAACAGG
This 250-nucleotide ribosomal RNA is filed under the name uncultured bacterium. RNAcentral describes it as "partial 16S ribosomal RNA". It matches the Rfam family "Bacterial small subunit ribosomal RNA", at positions 524 to 776 of the family's 1533-position model. The record is from RNAcentral.